This 325-nucleotide long non-coding RNA is filed under the name Vigna radiata. RNAcentral describes it as "long non-coding RNA (VRAD_LNC006889)". Lineage: Eukaryota; Viridiplantae; Streptophyta; Magnoliopsida; Fabales; Fabaceae. The record is from RNAcentral.
AUGUAAAUGCUCCAUUAAUGUAGAGAGAAAGAGAAAGAUGGUUAAGGAUAGGAGACGUGUAAGGUAUUUUUGGAAUAAAAGAAAAUAGUGAGGAGAUGUAGAAUAUUUUUGAAAUAAAUUAAAAUAGUGGAGAGGUACAGGUACCACUUGGGGGAGGUGGAGGGAUCAACACCCAUACUUUGAUGAUAAAAUUUGAAAAAUAAAAACAAUAAAAUUUGUGAAAUUAAAUAUUUAGUGAUAAAAUAUAUGCACUAAGCCAAUCAAAAUAUGAAUUUGAUUUUCAAAGAAAAAUGUAUCGUUUUGUUUUGACUUUAUUUUUCGUUUU